GCUGGCGGCGUGCGUAAUGCAUGCAAGUCGCACGGCCUGUCUUCGGGCAGGCAGUGGCGAACGGCUGAGUACCACGUACGAACCUACCCGCUCGUGGGGAAUAACGCACCGAAAGGUGUGCUAAUACCGCGUACGCUCAUCAGUGAUGGUGAGGAAAGCACCUUCGGGUGUGCGGGCGGCGGGGCGUGCGUCCCAUCAGGUGGUUGGCGGGGUAAUGGCCCACCAAGCCGGUGACGGGUCGCUGGUCUGUGAGGACGAUCAGCCAGACUGGGACUGCGANNCGGCCCAGACNCCUACGGGUGGCAGCAGCAAGGAAAGUUCGGCACUGGGCGCAAGCUUGNCCGAGCAACGCCGCGUGGAGGACGACGGCCUUCGGGUUGUAAACUCCUUUCGGGGGGGACGAAACGGACGGUACCUUCAGAAGCAGCCCCGGCUAACUCUGUGCCAGCAGCCGCGGUAAGACAGAGGGGGCAAGCGUUGUCCGGAUUGACUGGGCGUACAGGGCGCGUAGGCGGGACGCGACGUGCCGGGUGACAGGCGCAGGCUCAACCUGCGUUGGACUUGGUAGACGCGCGACCUGGAGGCCGAGAGAGGGAUGUGGAAUACCCGGUGGAGCGGUGAAAUGCGUAGAGAUCGGGUGGAACACCAGGGGCGAAGGCGGCAUCCUGGNUCGGUGCUGACGCUGAGGCGCGAGAGCGUGGGGAGCGAACUGGAUUAGAUACCCAGGUAGUCCACGCCGUAAACGAUGUGGACCCGGCGCUGGGGGGUGAUUGCGCCCUUCGGUGCCCCAACUUACGUGAUGAGUCCACCGCCUGGGGAGUACGGCCGCAAGGCUAAAACUCAAAGGAAUUGACNNGGGGCCCGCACAAGCAGCGGACCGUGUGGUUUAAUUCGACGCAACACGCAGAACCUUACCUAGGCUUGACAUGCAGCUGCACGCCGGGGAAACCCGGUUCCUUCGAGGGUGCUGCACCGGUGCUGCAUGGCUGUCGUCAGCUCGUGUCGUGAGAUGUUGGGUUAAGUCCCGCAACGGGCGCAACCCUUGCCCCGUGUUACCAGUGUCACGGGGGACUGCCGUGGUGUUACCACGGAGGAAGGCGGGGAUGACGUCAAGUCCGCAUGGCCCCGACGCUUAGGGCGACACACACGCUACAAUGGCCGGAGGAGUGCGUUU
RNAcentral lists this ribosomal RNA (1174 nucleotides) under uncultured bacterium #0319-23B10. RNAcentral's name for it is "bacterial SSU rRNA". It matches the Rfam family "Bacterial small subunit ribosomal RNA", at positions 35 to 1249 of the family's 1533-position model. Lineage: Bacteria; Bacillati; Chloroflexota; Chloroflexia; Chloroflexales. The record is from RNAcentral.